RNAcentral lists this ribosomal RNA (309 nucleotides) under uncultured bacterium. Its description in RNAcentral is "partial 16S ribosomal RNA". It matches the Rfam family "Bacterial small subunit ribosomal RNA", at positions 355 to 654 of the family's 1533-position model. The record is from RNAcentral.
UAGGGAAUCUUCCACAAUGGACGAAAGUCUGAUGGAGCAACGCCGCGUGAGUGAAGAAGGUUUUUCGGAUCGUAAAGGCUCUGUUGUUGGUGAAGAAGGAUAGAGGCAGUAACUGGUCUUUAUUUGACGGUAAUCAACCAGAAAGUCACGGCUAACUACGUGCCAGCAGCCGCGGUAAUACGUAGGUGGCAAGCGUUGUCCGGAUUUAUUGGGCGUAAAGCGAGCGCAGGCGGAAUGAUAAGUCUGAUGUGAAAGCCCACGGCUCAACCGUGGAACUGCAUCGGAAACUGUCAUUCUUGAGUGCAGAAG